RNAcentral lists this ribosomal RNA (420 nucleotides) under uncultured bacterium. Its description in RNAcentral is "bacterial SSU rRNA". It matches the Rfam family "Bacterial small subunit ribosomal RNA", at positions 356 to 773 of the family's 1533-position model. The record is from RNAcentral.
GAGGAAUAUUGGUCAAUGGGCGGGAGCCUGAACCAGCCAAGUCGCGUGAAGGAAGAAGGAUCUAUGGUUCGUAAACUUCUUUUGCAGGGGAAUAAAGUGCAGGACGUGUCCUGUUUUGUAUGUACCCUGAGAAUAAGGAUCGGCUAACUCCGUGCCAGCAGCCGCGGUAAUACGGAGGAUCCGAGCGUUAUCCGGAUUUAUUGGGUUUAAAGGGUGCGUAGGUGGUUUGAUAAGCCAGCGGUGAAAGUUUACGGCUCAACCGUGAAAUUGCAGUUGAUACUGUAUGUCUGGAGUGUACAAGAGGUGGGCGGAAUUCGUGGUGUAGCGGUGAAAUGCUUAGAUAUCACGAAGAACUCCAAUUGCGAAGGCAGCUCACUGGGGUACAACUGACACUGAGGCUCGAAAGUGUGGGUAUCAAAC